AACGAACGCUGGCGGCAUGCCUAACACAUGCAAGUCGAACGAGACCUUCGGGUCUAGUUGCGCACGGGGGCGUAACGCGUGGGAACCUGCCCGUAGGUUCGGAAUAACUCCCCGAAAGGGGUGCUAAUACCGGAGAAUGUCUUCGGACCAAAGAUUUAUCGCCUUUGGAUGGGCGCGUGUUGGAUUAGCUAGUUGGUAGGGUAAAAGCCUACCAAGGGGACGAUCCAUAGCUGGUCGGAGAGGAUGGUCAGCCACACUGGGACUGCGACACGGCCCAGACUCCUACGGGAGGCAGCAGUGGGGAAUAUUGGACAAGGGGCGAAAGCCUGACAAAGCAAUGCCGCGUGAGUGAUGAAGGCCUUAGGGUUGUAAAGCUCUUUUACACGGGAUGAUAAUGACAGUAACGGGAGAAUAAGCACCGGCUAACUACGUG
Molecule: ribosomal RNA, 433 nt
Filed under: uncultured bacterium
Lineage: Bacteria
Description: partial 16S ribosomal RNA
Rfam family: Bacterial small subunit ribosomal RNA
Source: RNAcentral